Molecule: ribosomal RNA, 468 nt
Filed under: uncultured bacterium
Lineage: Bacteria
Description: partial 16S ribosomal RNA
Rfam family: Bacterial small subunit ribosomal RNA
Source: RNAcentral
GACGAACGCUGGCGGCGUGCUUAACACAUGCAAGUCGAACGGAAAGGCCCUGCUUUUGUGGGGUGCUCGAGUGGCGAACGGGUGAGUAACACGUGAGUAACCUGCCCUUGACUUUGGGAUAACUUCAGGAAACUGGGGCUAAUACCGGAUAGGAGCUCCUGCUGCAUGGUGGGGGUUGGAAAGUUUCGGCGGUUGGGGAUGGACUCGCGGCUUAUCAGCUUGUUGGUGUGGUAGUGGCUUACCAAGGCUUUGACGGGUAGCCGGCCUGAGAGGGGGACCGGCCACAUUGGGACUGAGAUACGGCCCAGACUCCUACGGGAGGCAGCAGUGGGGAAUAUUGCACAAUGGGCGGGAGCCUGAUGCAGCAACGCCGCGUGCGGGAUGACGGCCUUCGGGGUGUAAACCGCUUUCGAAUGUGACGAAGCGUGAGUGACGGUAAUGGGUAAAGAAGCACCGGCUAACUACGUG